GACGAACGCUGGCGGCGUGCUUAACACAUGCAAGACGAACGGAAAGGCCCUGCUUUUGUGGGGUGCUCGAGUGGCGAACGGGUGAGUAACACGUGAGUAACCUGCCCUUGACUUUGGGAUAACUUCAGGAAACUGGGGCUAAUACCGGAUAGGAGCUCCUGCUGCAUGGUGGGGGUUGGAAAGUUUCGGCGGGUGGGGAUGGACUCGCGGCUUAUCAGCUUGUUGGUGGGGUAGUGGCUUACCAAGGCUUUGACGGGUAGCCGGCCUGAGAGGGUGACCGGCCACAUUGGGACUGAGAUACGGCCCAGACUCCUACGGGAGGCAGCAGUGGGGAAUAUUGCACAAUGGGCGGAAGCCUGAUGCAGCAACGCCGCGUGCGGGAUGACGGCCUUCGGGUUGUAAACCGCUUUCGCCUGUGACGAAGCGUGAGUGACGGUAAUGGGUAAAGAAGCACCGGCUAACUACGUG
RNAcentral lists this ribosomal RNA (468 nucleotides) under uncultured bacterium. Its description in RNAcentral is "partial 16S ribosomal RNA". It matches the Rfam family "Bacterial small subunit ribosomal RNA", at positions 28 to 507 of the family's 1533-position model. The record is from RNAcentral.